This is a non-coding RNA of Arvicanthis niloticus (Nile rat), 129 nucleotides long. The record is from RefSeq and is a predicted model, not a curated record. NCBI's taxonomy places the organism in Eukaryota, Metazoa, Chordata, Mammalia, Rodentia, Muridae.
CCUGCUCUGGAGAUGUCAGGUGUGGCUGCCGUGUCACAUGUGCAUCAGUAGGUGGCAGAGAGGAGGAAGCCCAUGUCUAGCUUUAGUGUUUUGAACUAUGAACAUCUAAAUCAGUUGUAGUUUAACACU